GCGCUUGAGAGAACUCGGGUGAAGGAACUAGGCAAAAUGGUGCCGUAACUUCGGGAGAAGGCACGCUGACAUGUAGGUGAAGCCCCUGCGGGUGGAGCUGAAGUCAGUCGAAGAUACCAGCUGGCUGCAACUGUUUAUUAAAAACACAGCACUGUGCAAACACGAAAGUGGACGUAUACGGUGUGACGCCUGCCCGGUGCCGGAAGGUUAAUUGAUGGGGUUAUCGCAAGAGAAGCUCCUGAUCGAAGCCCCGGUAAACGGCGGCCGUAACUAUAACGGUCCUAAGGUAGCGAAAUUCCUUGUCGGGUAAGUUCCGACCUGCACGAAUGGCGUAAUGAUGGCCAGGCUGUCUCCACCCGAGACUCAGUGAAAUUGAACUCGCUGUGAAGAUGCAGUGUACCCGCGGCAAGACGGAAAGACCCCGUGAACCUUUACUACAGCUUGACACUGAACAUUGAGCCUUGAUGUGUAGGAUAGGUGGGAGGCUUUGAAGCGUGGACGCCAGUCUGCGUGGAGCCAACCUUGAAAUACCACCCUUUAAUGUUUGAUGUUCUAACCUGGCGCCCUGAUCGGGCGUGGGGACAGUGUCUGGUGGGUAGUUUGACUGGGGCGGUCUCCUCCCAAAGUGUAACGGAGGAGCACGAAGGUCAGCUAAUCCUGGUCGGACAUCAGGAGGUUAGUGCAAUGGCAUAAGCUGGCUUGACUGCGAGAGUGACGGCUCGAGCAGGUGCGAAAGCAGGUCAUAGUGAUCCGGUGGUUCUGUAUGGAAGGGCCAUCGCUCAACGGAUAAAAGGUACUCCGGGGAUAACAGGCUGAUACCGCCCAAGAGUUCAUAUCGACGGCGGUGUUUGGCACCUCGAUGUCGGCUCAUCACAUCCUGGGGCUGAAGUAGGUCCCAAGGGUAUGGCUGUUCGCCAUUUAAAGUGGUACGCGAGCUGGGUUUAGAACGUCGUGAGACAGUUCGGUCCCUAUCUGCCGUGGGCGCUGGAGAAUUGAGGGGGGCUGCUCCCAGUACGAGAGGACCGGAGUGGACGCAUCACUGGUGUUCGGGUUGUCAUGCCAAUGGCACUGCCCGGUAGCUAAAUGCGGAAGAGAUAAGUGCUGAAAGCAUCUAAGCACGAAACUUGCCCCGAGAUGAGUUCUCCCUGAGACUGUAAGUCUCCUGAAGGAACGUUGAAGACGACGACGUUGAUAGGCCGGGUGUGUAAGCGCAGCGAUGCGUUGAGCUAACCGGUACUAAUGAACCGUGAGGCUUAACCUU
RNAcentral lists this ribosomal RNA (1261 nucleotides) under Cronobacter sakazakii. Its description in RNAcentral is "bacterial LSU rRNA". It matches the Rfam family "Bacterial large subunit ribosomal RNA", at positions 1686 to 2925 of the family's 2925-position model. The record is from RNAcentral. Lineage: Bacteria; Pseudomonadati; Pseudomonadota; Gammaproteobacteria; Enterobacterales; Enterobacteriaceae.